CCCACGGGCUUCUACACACAGCAAAGUCAGAGCUGGGAAAAGCCAGAACCCAACUGAUCAAAGGUCAGCCUGGAAGACCAAAAAUUUAUACUGCAUUUUGUCAUAGGCUGUGGCUGCUAUCUUCAUUCAGGAAGGUAGACAGACUCAAAGCUUACAGACAACGUGGUAGAUCUGCUUUGGAGCCAGGCAGUGGGCACUGUGCACAGCCAACUGUCAGUGCAGCAGCAGCCUACCUGUCUCAAGGAACCACAGCGACUGCCAAGGAUCUGCCCUUCCUGAAGCAGAGAAAAAGCCCCAGGGCAAGAGCCUCCUCAACAGCAAAAAGAUGCACUCAACAAGGAGCAGACAGUGUUCUAAGAGAAAGAAUGGGGAGAAGUGCAACCUGCAGAAUGCUGCUGGAAAGGGAUUUGGGAGCCUGUGCUUCACCUCCAAAACAAAUUAGCUGCUAGAAGUACAGUGUACAUACACUAAAAAUAAAUCAAAGAGACAAAAGAGAAGACAGAUCUAUUUCUUUUGGGCCGCAGAAUCCUGAUAACUCCGUACCAGGAUUAAGUUUCAGUGGGAGUUAAUACAAAUCUUCAGUUUUGAGUUGAUCAAGGGUUAAUCCAUGCAACAACAAACCCCAAAGCGUUUAAUUAAGGCUGCCCUGGGAAACUUAUCUCCCCCUGGGCUGAAUACAUGCAUUUGGGAGCACGGUAACAACCACUUGUUCUGCCUCUGCGUACGGUAGCCAGAGGAUCUGGAACACAAAAUGGAUAAAAAUACAAUGUGAGCUGGCCCUGCAAAUAGGCACGAUGGGCUAUGACUGCUUCUUUAAGACAUUUAAACUCUACUUCUGCUCCUCUGCAGUCAUCAACAUGGAACUCCGCACCAGCAUUCCCGCAGAACGGACUUUCUCCACAUCCAUCUGCAGAGGACACCAAGAUAACCACAGUUUGGGCAGCAAUUCCAGCUGUCAUUUUACGAGUAAGCAGCAACUUCACGGCUCCGCUGAAGCGGCGCGGCCGUGGUGCUGAAAAGGCGUGCCGAAGCACUCACGGACCGCUCUGCAGGCUGCGGAGAGAUCGGUGCUCGCCCUGCGGCAGAGGGGCGUGCGUGAUGCUGAG
Long non-coding RNA from Gallus gallus (chicken), 1106 nucleotides. RefSeq lists it as uncharacterized. The transcript is spliced from 2 exons. The record is from RefSeq and is a predicted model, not a curated record. NCBI's taxonomy places the organism in Eukaryota, Metazoa, Chordata, Aves, Galliformes, Phasianidae.